RNAcentral lists this ribosomal RNA (305 nucleotides) under uncultured bacterium. Its description in RNAcentral is "bacterial SSU rRNA". It matches the Rfam family "Bacterial small subunit ribosomal RNA", at positions 335 to 656 of the family's 1533-position model. The record is from RNAcentral.
CGCCCUACGGGAGGCAGCAGUCGGGAAUAUUGCGCAAUGGAGGAAACUCUGACGCAGUGACGCCGCGUAUAGGAAGAAGGUUUUCGGAUUGUAAACUUUUGUCGUUAGGGAAGAGAAAGGACAGUACCUAAGGAGGAAGCUCCGGCUAACUACGUGCCAGCAGCCGCGGUAAUACGUAGGGAGCGAGCGUUAUCCGGAAUUAUUGGGUGUAAAGGGUGCGUAGACGGUAAAACAAGUUUGUUGUGAAAUCCCUCGGCUUAACUGCGGAACUGCACCUAAAACUAUUUUUCUUGAGUGCAGGAGAG